Molecule: ribosomal RNA, 655 nt
Filed under: uncultured Bacteroides sp.
Lineage: Bacteria; Pseudomonadati; Bacteroidota; Bacteroidia; Bacteroidales; Bacteroidaceae
Description: bacterial SSU rRNA
Rfam family: Bacterial small subunit ribosomal RNA
Source: RNAcentral
GGGCAGCAUUGGGGUAGCAUACUUCAGAUGGCGACCGGCGCACGGGUGAGUAACACGUAUCCAACCUUCCGCUUACUCGGGGAUAGCCUUUCGAAAGAAAGAUUAAUACCCGAUGGUAUAAAGAGUUCGCAUGUUCUCUUUAUUAAAGAAUUUCGGUAAGCGAUGGGGAUGCGUUCCAUUAGAUAGUUGGCGGGGUAACGGCCCACCAAGUCUACGAUGGAUAGGGGUUCUGAGAGGAAGGUCCCCCACAUUGGAACUGAGACACGGUCCAAACUCCUACGGGAGGCAGCAGUGAGGAAUAUUGGUCAAUGGACGAGAGUCUGAACCAGCCAAGUAGCGUGAAGGAUGACUGCCCUAUGGGUUGUAAACUUCUUUUAUAAGGGAAUAAAGUGAGGGACGUGUCCCUUUUUGUAUGUACCUUAUGAAUAAGGAUCGGCUAACUCCGUGCCAGCAGCCGCGGUAAUACGGAGGAUCCGAGCGUUAUCCGGAUUUAUUGGGUUUAAAGGGAGCGUAGGUGGAUUGUUAAGUCAGUUGUGAAAGUUUGCGGCUCAACCGUAAAAUUGCAGUUGAAACUGGCAGUCUUGAGUACAGUAGAGGUGGGCGGAAUUCGUGGUGUAGCGGUGAAAUGCUUAGAUAUCACGAAGAACUCCGAUUG